This 4708-nucleotide long non-coding RNA is filed under the name Elaeis guineensis (African oil palm). RNAcentral describes it as "long non-coding RNA (EGUI_LNC065397)". Lineage: Eukaryota; Viridiplantae; Streptophyta; Magnoliopsida; Arecales; Arecaceae. The record is from RNAcentral.
GUGCAUGAUUCCACUUCAUAGACUGCCUAUUCUGCUCUAGCUAGAACCAUAUCUCUGUUCAGAUGUAUGCAGCAAUCAAAUCAGAAGUAUGAUAUUAUUGAGAACGUUGGAUGCUUGACUUUUGCAUCUGAUUUGCAUUCCUGCUUUUGCAAAGCAAGUCAAUGAGUAGGAGACAAGUUGAAGGGCAAGAAUUACAAUGUUUAAGUGAAACUGGUCUUUUCCAUGCAGUAUCUGAUAUCAUGUAGAAGAAGAAAAAGAGUAUAUCUAUAGCAGAAAAUUUCUCAUCCAUGAUCGUUAUCAAAAGCAAGGGAGGCUUGCUGAACAGAAUGGGGGUUAUUACUAAUAAAAAUUAAUUUAUAUCUCUUCCCAUCUUAUCCUCAUUCAUUAAGAUGUUCUUAUUCUUUAUCAACGGUAUCAUUGGGUUAAAUGAGUCGAGUUGAUUGAAAAUAAGGAGACCGACAUCAGCUUAAAUGGAAUCUUGUAUCUGCUCUAUCUUCCGUGUGUCUUAGGUCAUGUGCUGUUAGUGUACAACUAUUUGUCUUUCAGUUUCUGACUGUUCCAUUGAUGUUGGCAGAUUUGAAGGGUUUUGCAUGAUCAAGGACUCGUUUCCUUAUCAAAGCCUUAUCCGCAGGAGUUUUCUUAAGAUGUGAGCUGGAGUUGUGUUGCAUGCACAGAGAAAUCAUAUAGUCACAGGGCAGUAGAUUUUCAUUUCUUCAGUUAUUACCUAAAUAAUGCAGAAUUCUGAUGAUGAAAAGGUUUUCUUUUUCCCGGACAUGUUAAAUGAUUUUAAUUAAUAAAGCAUAAAAAAGAGUCUCGUUUAUCUUAUUUGAUUUUUAAUUUCAUUUAUUUCGCAGCUUGGUGUCAAUCUUCAUGGCAGACAGGAUAGUGAUUUGAUUUCAGGUAUACCCAUCAAGAAAAGGCCCUUGAUUUUAGCUCAAUCUCCACCGCCUCCACCUCAAACACCAUCUUCGCAAGAUGGUGAUUGUGGUACACCACAAAAGAAUCUUCAUUGCUUGGAGACAAAGCCUGCUGUUUCAGAAACUGAUGGACUGCCAGCUUCAGGGACCGACUUUACCAUCAAGGGUUCUUCCUCUGAAUCUAUAAGCGACACAAACUUAGUUCCAAAUCAAGAAGUUCUUUCUGCUUUAUCUCAUCACGAAGAGGAGCUAAAUAUGACUCCUAGUUCUGAUAAGGGAACAUGUGUUGAAGACCAAGUUGCUGGAAGCACACUACAACUAUCAGCACUGAAGGAACCGCUUGAUCUUCCUUUAAGUGAAAGUAGUGGAGGGGUGUUUGUUCCAUUUGAUAAGUCUGCAAUUCACAAAGUUAUAGGUAAUACAGAAUUUCAAAUGACACUUAAAGGGCCAUUUGCACCGUCCAAUGAUGUGCAAACUAGUGAAAGGAGUUUGUUGAAGCUACAGAAACUAGAUUUCUGUUGUGAUCAUUCUUCAGCUGAGAAACAGCAACGUCAUCAAAGCAGAUGUAGCCGUGCUGAAGCGAAAGUUGACUCUGCAUUUCCAUACUCAAAUAGGUCAAACUGGGAUUUGAAUACUACAAUGGAUGCAUGGGAAGGCUCCUUGAAUGACCCAAACCAUGAAACUGGUGCGUAUGAGGCCGGUCUUGUAUCAACAUUUUCUAGAGAAUCCAAUGGGACUGAUGAGACACUUGGAAACAGUCAAAAUUUAAAUGCCGAAAACCUAAUGUCAUCCAACUUAUCCUUGCCUAUAAAUGAGCUUCACGACUCUGCGGUUUGCCUAAAUUCACAAUGUAAAUCAGUAAUCAAUUCUGAGUAUUGCACUACUUUGGGUGCUGCUUGUCCUUCUGUUAGACUUAACUCUAUUACAGAAAUGCCUUAUCCAAGUUCAUUGGUGAAACCUAUUCCCCCAGCCUGCAAUUCAAAGUUGGCUACUUGUGGAGCUGUAAAAGCUGAACCAUGUGAUGAAAGUAGUCAUUUGGAUGCCCGGAAAGUCGAAACAAGUUAUGUGAAAGCAGCUGGUUGUAAAGAUGCAAAAACUGAACUAUGCGAAUAUUUAGGAGAAGCAAUGAAAGCAACAGGUUAUGGUGAUCUAAAAUCAGCAUGCAAAGCAGCUGUAAAAUCAGAGCCACUUGAGAAUCAAGCUCAACAGAACCUUGGGGGUACAGCCAUGCCCCAGUAUGAAAGUGAAUGUUUUAACAAGGCCUUGAGUUUGAUGUCUCAGUCUCCGGUUUUGAACACUAAGCAUGAUGGGUCAGAGCUGCCUCCUGGAUGCAUUCCUGUGAACGUGAAAGAGAAUGUUGGUGGGGCUACAAAACAUUCUGUUCAAACUUUUAACCCCCAUAAUUAUAUACCAUGCAGUGGUGGAGAGAUCGCCAUUAGUACCAGCCAUCCCCAAAAUGCAAGUGGAAUUGUCAACAAAUGUUCGAAUAUGUUUUCAGAAGCCCACAUUUCUGAGGCUGAGGAAAUAAAAUCUGGAAAGAAAGCAUGGGAGACAGCUGAAACCAAGUCAAGUGGUACUGUCGAGGUUCUUGCCCAAACAGGCUGCCCAGACGGUGUUCGUUAUCAUUCCUCUGAAUCUUCUUUAGCAGAUGAACUUCAUGUAGGCUUGCAUGGAAAUAGCAAGCUAGAUGAGGUCCAGGAGGCGAAGAUUGAUGUAUCUGCUGAGAUCAAAGAAGAGUCACAUGACAAUAAAUACAAGUCAGAUAGUUCUUGUCAUGACAUUGGUACUGUGAAUAUUGUUUAUAAGCAGAGUGGCCAAAUUGAUGAUUAUGAAGAUGGUGAAGUGAUGGACAUGGCAUUGCAUUGUGGAAUUGAAGAUUCCUGUGAGGAAGGAAAAGAGCAACAGGUAAAUGAUGCAAGCAAUGCUGAUCCAAUUCAUCAUCUUGAUGUUUCCAUUGUGAUGCCUUCAAGCGUAGAUGUACAGGAAAAAAGAACAGAGAAGUUGGACAAGUUAAAUAAUGUUCAAGGCACUGAAGAGGGUGAUGUUGGUCUAUGUAAUGACAGGAAUGAUCAUGGCAUCCAUAAAGCAACAAAUGCUCAUCAAUUUGCAGCUGUUGGAGGUGUAAUUUCUGGAUCUGCUGAAAAGAAGCUCAUUAAAACCAUGUCUAAUAAUUGUUGGGAUCAAUCAAAGAGAAACAAGGACCCUGAAGCAAAAUUGCCAAAUAGUGGUUCUCUUCUUGUGGGAACAAUUAAAGAAGGUAGUCGAGGUGAGAUUGUCAGACAUCCGGAGAAGAUUUCUAGAGGAUCUGACUUUCUGCGAGCUAAAGCUUCUGUUUUGUCCAAAACAGAGUCAGAUAAAAACGGUGAUAGAAUAAAACAUGUUGGCAGUAACCAUGGGCGCAUUAUUGAUCUGAAGUCUGCUCGAGAUGGAUUAGCAUCUGGAAAACCAAAAUCUUUGGCUGACAAGCCAUUAUCAUCACUACAUGUGAGGGAAGAUUCCAUUGGUAAAUUAUGGAGGCAAGAUAAAUCACAUUACUGGGGGAGUAGGUGAUAUUUCAUACAUCAGAAGCUCAGCUUCAAUGUUGUUAUAAUAAAUACCGAUGAUCAGGUAUCUGACUAUUGACUUUUCUUUUGUUUCAGAGAAGUAAACUGCAGUGACAGGUCCAGGAAAUUUGAAAGCGAGAAGAACUAUGAGCAGUUUGUUGCUAAACGUGGAUCAAAUUACAAACACAUUAGGAGUAGAGAUCGCAAUGAGUUAAGAUCAUCACAUGAUGAUAGAAAUUCUGAGCCUGGGCUUUUAUUGGAACAAGCUAAUCGUUCAAGUGGUUAUCGAUUUCUGCGACCUAAAUAUGUAUCUGAAGUUGUGUCCAGUGGGUCUACUGGAAAUGCUGGUAGGAUUGCAAGGAAGCCCAUCAGUGGUGAAUUUCAGACCUUCUCUCGUAUGCCUUAUAAAAGGCGUUCUCCUGGAGAAAAGGGACGAGAACCAGUUGGCAGUCAAAUGAUCCAUCAUCUUCAUCCUAUGAGGGAUAUCAGCCCUAGGAGGUGCAUUGGUCGAGAUGCUGCUGAUUUUGAAUUACUGGCUCAUGAAGAAAAACUAUUGAGGAACUUGCCUAAUGACAUGGAUGACAUGGUGGAGCCUCCUUUGCUCUUGCACCCUUGUUCGCCAUAUGAACGAGCAGAUGGCACUGUCAACCGUAGACUAAGGAGGAGCCUAUCACCUAUUCGGCAAGGAGGCUUAAAACAUAUAUCUCACAUGUUCUCAGAAAUUUCUCCAAUGUCUGAUAUGCGUUCUCUGCAUCAGUGGUCCCCACCCAGAAGAUCAUCUGAUGUCUUGGAUGGACGUCGAGAGCUAAUCCACUGCAGGUCUCCACCAGUUGUCCGGCUUGGUGGAAUGAGGCCACCUCAUCAGCACGCUUAUUUUAUGGAAGAUGCGACGGUCAGAAGGCACGGUUCCCCAUCUUAUGUUGCACGGUUGCCUGGUGAUAUGGUAGAUUUUGGUCCUUCAAGAGAGCAUGAUUAUCAAAGGUAUGCUACGCAUCCUUCGAGGAAUUUUCGAAGGUUAGAAUUGAUUGAAUCUUGUGAAAAUGCAGAUGAAGAACUUUGUUCACCAUUGCUCCGCAGACAAUUUCAUGAACCUGCAAGAGAUGAUGACUAUUCUACUGAUAGAAGAAAGUAUCAAGAGAGGCAUGAACCUGUUCGUUCUAUGAGGCGCCAUUUCAGUGUUCGUGAUGAUGAUAGCAUGAAUUUUGAUUUUCAUGAUGAGAGGGAUCCUCGAGCUUUUAGGCAUUGUCG